Small nuclear RNA from Neomonachus schauinslandi (Hawaiian monk seal), 138 nucleotides. RefSeq annotates it as U4 spliceosomal RNA. The transcript has a single exon. NCBI's taxonomy places the organism in Eukaryota, Metazoa, Chordata, Mammalia, Carnivora, Phocidae. The record is from RefSeq and is a predicted model, not a curated record.
AGCUUUGCACAGUGGCAGUAUCGUAGCCAAUGAGGUUUAUCCGAGGCACGAUUAUUGCUAAUUGAAAAGAAAGGCAAUAGAAAAUCCAAGGGUAAAAAGAAAAAUCAUCUCAGGAGAUACAGAAAUUUACAUAAGUGA